AAAAUUACAGCUGAGAAAUAUUGCAUGCGGUUACAAGAAAAAUUUUGUUGUUUUCUUUAUAGAUUGUGGAAUAAACUCAGUCACUCCAGGGAAGAAUUAUAAUCAUAUACCCACUUGAGCUCAUUGAAGUAAAGGAGGACGUACACACAAAUUCAAAUACAUGGAGGAAACAGGGUUCUAACCGGCGGGAUCCUGCUGGCCCUCUGUCUGUGAAGCAAACGGGACGCAGCCACAGAGUUUAAGAAAACAGCGGAGCUAACUGUAGCUACAGGCAAGGGCUCAGCAUGCUAGAAUGGUUGGUUUAGGCCGUGACCCUAAUCUCAGUCUGAAUACAAAUAGUAGAUGAAGAUUUCAGUCUGAAUAUCUGAGCUGGGCUUUGUCCAGGACCCAGUUUGUGUAGACAAGGCAGGUUGGGGAACAGGGCCAAUCCUGUUCAAGUUGGAUCCAAAGAGUUUUCACCUAGGGGAAGUGCCCUGUACGGAAGUAAUGCAACAGUCUGAGAAAGAUAGCUACCGGAGCUGAAGAAUAAAUUUGUGUUGUGGUGUAGAAAGCUACUGAAAAAUUUCUCUAUUUUUAAAAGCUGCAGACGUUCAUACUUCUCGA
Long non-coding RNA from Chinchilla lanigera (long-tailed chinchilla), 603 nucleotides. The record is from Ensembl. Lineage: Eukaryota; Metazoa; Chordata; Mammalia; Rodentia; Chinchillidae.